AACGUAGGAGACAAACGUUAUCCGGAGUUACUGGGCGUAAAGGGCGUGUAGGCGGUUUGUUAAGUCUGGCGUGAAAGCUCUCGGCUAAACCGGGAGAGGUCGUUGGAUACUGGCAAACUAGAGGAUGGUAGAGGCGUGUGGAAUUCCAGGUGUAGCGGUGAAAUGCGUAGAUAUCUGGAGGAACAUCAGUGGCGAAGGCGACACCCUGGACUCAUACUGACACUGAGGUGCGAAAGCUAGGGGAGCGAAUGGG
This 253-nucleotide ribosomal RNA is filed under the name uncultured bacterium. RNAcentral's name for it is "partial 16S ribosomal RNA". It matches the Rfam family "Bacterial small subunit ribosomal RNA", at positions 524 to 776 of the family's 1533-position model. The record is from RNAcentral.